Molecule: long non-coding RNA, 417 nt
Filed under: Heterocephalus glaber (naked mole-rat)
Lineage: Eukaryota; Metazoa; Chordata; Mammalia; Rodentia; Bathyergidae
Description: lncRNA (ENSHGLG00000037813.1)
Source: RNAcentral
UGAGGAAGCAGAGCCGGAAGAGGCACAGUGAUUGUCAGACAGGGAGGAAAAUCAGGAGCAGAUUCAUUCUUUGACUUCAUGAGACCCAGAUCAUGCUGUUGCAAAAGCACAUGGUGGGGCAGCCUCCUUAGAUGGACCUGGGUUUCAGUGCCAUCACCAUGCUUGGUAACCAGUGAGGUUGGCCUGGCUCCUUAACAUAUCUGAGACCAUUUAGUCCUCCAUGAAACACAAGAAGAGCUCACUUGAUCUAGUUCACAGGACUGUUCUGCAGCUUCAAGAUUGUUGCAUUUUAAAUUUGACUGGCUGCCAACAUACCUCGAAGUAACCUUAACUUAGUGUUCUUAUCAAUGGAACAGAGAGGAAAACAAGUUAACCUUAUAAUUCAAAAAUUUGCAAAGUACAAAAAAUGCUUUACAC